AGCAGAGGGACUGCCUUCCAGAGACUUUGGAUCAUCACCACGAUGGGUUGAUUUUACAAAUUUAGCCACUGUCACCGGAGGCCUGGCUGAACUUCAGAGUUUCUUCUCCAGCGUCGGUUUCUUGAUUGCCUAAAGUUCCUUCCAGUCUAAUACUCUGGGAUUCUGGGCCAGUUUCUGGUCUGUCACAGCUGAAUAAGAGUGCAAGGGCAGGAGUGGAAUGUUCAGACUGCUCCAAGAGGACCUUGGCCCAGGUGAGGCAGCAGGCCGGCACCCUGCCCACAACCACAUAGAGGGCCCAGGCUUGUCUGACGCCUCAGGCUGUGCUCUCUCCAGCUCACUGCGGUGCCUCUCCCAGAUUCGGGCACACUCUGGUGUAACCUGCUUCGCUCGUUCGCGGGAUGGGUGGUGAGCAUGGAGCCCAUUUUCCCAUGUGGCAUUUCAGCAACAGGACUUGGCUAUUUGAAACUCCCCAGACAUAGCAGGAUUUAAAAAACGGAUCCCCUCUGGCUGGGCAUUUAGGUUGCUUUCACUUCUGGGCUGCUAUAAACAGCCUGCAGUUACUGCCUCAGGACGCCUUUCUGGAAGGUGAGUUUCUUGGCCAGGGGAUAUCGCACAUGCACUUUGGAGCCUCUGAGCCUUUGCACAGGCUGGUCCCUUUGCCUGGCUGCCCCUCUCCCAUUUAUCCCUAGAUUCUUCUGCAGCACACACACUGCCUCCUCUGAAGUGUCCUGGCUGCAUGUGCUGCUCUCCUUGCCCUGGGCUGCCCUCUUCUCCCUGGUGUCAUGAGUAUCUGCUGACCUUCUGCUUCUCCCAUGACAGAGUGCCUUCCUUCUCUUCCUUCUCUGCCUUGGCCUCCAGCACGUAGUAGGCGCCUAGGAAAUGUUUUCCAGCAGAACGAGCCAUCUCCUGGCUGGUUUAGCAGUGUGGGAUUGUGUGGUGUUUCUAUUAGUC
Molecule: long non-coding RNA, 951 nt
Organism: Homo sapiens (human)
Lineage: Eukaryota; Metazoa; Chordata; Mammalia; Primates; Hominidae
Product: long intergenic non-protein coding RNA 1639
Source: Ensembl